Molecule: long non-coding RNA, 1001 nt
Organism: Cucurbita moschata (crookneck pumpkin)
Lineage: Eukaryota; Viridiplantae; Streptophyta; Magnoliopsida; Cucurbitales; Cucurbitaceae
Exons: 2
Source: RefSeq, a predicted model, not a curated record
UCUUCAUCUCAUUCUUGCAUAAUAGAUCAUCAUGAUCUGGAAAAUUACUGAGAAAUUUGAGUCGUCGACCGAAGUUCUUCGGUUUCUUUUUAGCUGACAGCAAGAACUUAGAGUAGCUUUUGUGCUGGUAUUAUUCCACUUCCAUGCAUGUUCUAUCUUCUUCAUCUGAUAUAUCUGUACAAAGAUUACUGUUGCUUGAUGGUAACCAUCAAUGGCCUAAUCUGUACCUUGUUUAUUAAAUUUCUCUUCUCUGGUUUCUGCUGCUUUCAUGAUCUGAAAGUUCAGGAUGUCCUGAGUGGCCACUUACACUCCAGUUUCUUACUACUGGACAGUGCCUUCUCCUUGUACUAUACUUGUCCUUGCUCAUUUUGGCAUUUAUUUGGGCACGUAGUCUAGUCUAGUCUCAUUAGCGGACGUCUUAUCUAUUCUCCUAUCCGUACCAGGUCUUGCCCCGUUGUCGAGUUUUCAAAUCGAGACUUAUCUCUUGCUAUUAGUUACUGCAACCAACACGCUCUAUCUAGAGAGUCGUUCGUGAUUUCCUUCUUGAAUAGGCGGCUAAGAGGUCUUGUUCGAGUGUGGGGGGUGUUGUCCGUGGGUAGAAGAAGGCAGGGUAGUCUAGUCUAGUCUCGUUAGCGGACAUCUUAUCUAUUCUCCUCUCGGUAUCGGGUCUUGCCCCGUUAUCGAGUUGUCAAAUCGAGACAUGUCUCUUGCUAUUAGCUACUGCAACCAACACACUCUAUGUAGAGAGUCGUUCGUGAUAUCCUUCUCGAACAGGCGGCUGAGAAGUCUUGUUCGAGUGUUGAAAGACCGAAACUCCUACUCUUUGCAGGGUAUAUGACCAACAAGUCCGACGAACCCGACCGCAAAGCCAUCAACUCUCCGGGGUUAGCUUUUUGUUUUUCUUUUCCACUCAGUGCAGGUGAUAGAAAAAGGAAGGAGGUCAGCUUAUUCUCCUUUGUGCAAUGGAAUCUACUUUUUUAUUUUUAUUCCAUUCUUUGAAA